This is a long non-coding RNA of Chinchilla lanigera (long-tailed chinchilla), 239 nucleotides long. RefSeq lists it as uncharacterized. The record is from RefSeq and is a predicted model, not a curated record. The transcript is spliced from 2 exons. Lineage: Eukaryota; Metazoa; Chordata; Mammalia; Rodentia; Chinchillidae.
GGAUUGCUUUUCUUUUCAAUUUCACAAGCUGUGGGGUCUGAAGUCAGGUCAGAGAGCACCUGCACGUUUGUAUGUUUGGUCCUCGCGAGGUGACACUUCUGGGCUGCAGGACCGAGUCGCAGACGGAGGAAAGCUCAAUGGACUCACUGCUCAAAUGGAGCUUAAAAGAAUCACUUUCAAAGGAUACCAUGACUGAAGAAGUCAUAUUUAUCAACAUUAAAUAAACACUUGGUGAAGUA